Molecule: ribosomal RNA, 279 nt
Filed under: uncultured bacterium
Lineage: Bacteria
Description: partial 16S ribosomal RNA
Rfam family: Bacterial small subunit ribosomal RNA
Source: RNAcentral
UGCCAGCCGCCGCGGUAAGACGAACCGUCCAAACGUUAUUCGGAAUUACUGGGCUUAAAGGGUGCGUAGGCGGCGCGGUAAGUUGGGUGUGAAAUCCCUCGGCUCAACCGAGGAAUUGCGCUUGAUACUGCCGUGCUCGAGGGAGACAGAGGUGAGCGGAACUUAGGGUGGAGCGGUGAAAUGCGUUGAUAUCCUAAGGAACACCAGUGGCGAAAGCGGCUCACUGGGUCUCUUCUGACGCUGAGGCACGAAAGCCAGGGGAGCAAACGGGAUUAGAUA